AUGAGUUAGUGAGGACUGAAGAGAGGAGAGUUAAACAAACAAGCAAACAAACAAACACACAGGGCAAGAAAACAGGACCCAACAGCAGACGCUGACACCCUCCCGACCUGCAGUGCAGAGUGAUUCCAAGAACCGCGCGCGACAUUCCGUGUCUCAGGAAAGAUGGUACCCACACUAAGCUCAGCCAAGAACGGCCUCCGCGCCCGCUUAAUUUUCCGAACCUGUUCUUGUGGUGCUGAUGGGGAGGGUGGCCGGGAAGAGAGGAGAGACCACUGAUCAAGUUGCUGUUUGUAUAUUGGUUGAUUGCUGUUUGCUGUUUGUUUAUUGAUUGAUUUUUUUUUAUUGGCCCCUGGCCGAGGAUGAGCUAAGAAGCCUUUUGCAUACCUUGACCUGACCUCACUUAUCCUUCCACACUUCUACACCCUUUUCCUUCCUGCGCAGGGUCCUGAGCAGGUGAUUCAGGCCCACAUUCUCGUCAUUCCCGCCUCGCUGCUCAGCCCCUUUCCUUGGCCUGCAUUUCCUAUUGAGGAAUGAAAAUUGAGAACGCCCAUGUCCACAGACGCCACCUAGAUGAACUCUGAGUUCUGACUGUAAUCUGUAACAAGGUCUAAAUCAAGCAGUGCUUAGAGCCUCCCACAACGGGCCUUCAACCAUAUUUGGAAGAAAAGAAGGAAUCCAGAGAGGAAAUGGUUACCUGUGCUUACAGGCGGUCUGCACCACAAGCGCUGACUCAGCAAGAGGGAACUCUGCGUACCCCUGUCCCGAAAGCCCCUUGAGCAAGGACGUCAGAAAGAGACUAAAAUGGAGGGACAGCCUCCGAGGGCCCUGGAGCAGGGUAACAUGAGAUCUAUGACUAUCUAGUCAUUCGCUACCUGCAUUUGAAAGCAUAUGCAUUAUUAUGGUUGUCACCAUUUAUAGUAGUAUACUUAGACGUUGUCCAUCGAAUCUGGACGCAUACUCAAUUUGAAACUAAAUAAAACCUAAAGGAACAUAGGUGACCAUGAGGGACUCCAGGGAACAUUCUCUGGGACGGAACUCUGUGAAGAGUGGAGAAGAGGCCUCUAGGAUCAAGCUAUUCAUCAUGGAUACAGCCUCAGAUCCAGGACCUCCACCCUCUGGUGCAGUAUUUCCAGGAUAUUAGUGGGGGACUGUGGACCAUUCAAGCCUUGGAACAAGUCUAGCCCAACCACUGUCUAACUUUGCUGCUGACGGAAGCCUGACCCAGCCCUGACCUCGUAGACCUUAUAGGAAUAUGUUCUCAGCUCACUGCUCCACAUUUCUGGCCCUGUGACCUCACCAAACAAACACCUGCCUAUCUCAGAGCAUUGUAUCUAUUCAUGUUGAUUUCUGUCUCUUCCUUAUUAGUCUCUUGCACAAACCAUGAACUGGAUGAAAGCAAGAACGGGAUCGUUUGGGUUCUGUGGGUGACAUCAGGACUUGACUGUGGACUUGACUUGCAUCUGGCACAGCCUGCUCGCCAGCUCCUAUUCCCUUGCCCACCUGUUCUUUGACCUUGAACGCCCAACCCCUUUUUCUUGGCAUCAGUAUCGUCCUCUCUAAGAGCAGAGAUUAGGAUUAAUAAAUCUAUGACGUGCUUGUCACAGGGACUAAUGAGACUGUA
Molecule: long non-coding RNA, 1621 nt
Filed under: Mus musculus (house mouse)
Lineage: Eukaryota; Metazoa; Chordata; Mammalia; Rodentia; Muridae
Description: RIKEN cDNA 4833407H14 gene
Source: RNAcentral